This 271-nucleotide ribosomal RNA is filed under the name uncultured bacterium. RNAcentral's name for it is "partial 16S ribosomal RNA". It matches the Rfam family "Bacterial small subunit ribosomal RNA", at positions 524 to 794 of the family's 1533-position model. The record is from RNAcentral.
UACGAAGGGUGCAAGCGUUACUCGGAAUUACUGGGCGUAAAGCGUGCGUAGGUGGUUUGUUAAGUCUGAUGUGAAAGCCCUGGGCUCAACCUGGGAACGGCAUUGGAUACUGGCUUACUAGAGUGCGGUAGAGGGUAGUGGAAUUCCCGGUGUAGCAGUGAAAUGCGUAGAUAUCGGGAGGAACAUCUGUGGCGAAGGCGACUACCUGGACCAGCACUGACACUGAGGCACGAAAGCGUGGGGAGCAAACAGGAUUAGAUACCCGAGUAGU